This 484-nucleotide ribosomal RNA is filed under the name uncultured bacterium. RNAcentral's name for it is "partial 16S ribosomal RNA". It matches the Rfam family "Bacterial small subunit ribosomal RNA", at positions 28 to 507 of the family's 1533-position model. The record is from RNAcentral.
AUUGAACGCUGGCGGCAUGCUUUACACAUGCAAGUCGAACGGCAGCGCGGGCUUCGGCCUGGCGGCGAGUGGCGAACGGGUGAGUAAUGCAUCGGAACGUGCCCAGUAGUUGGGGAUAGCCCGGCGAAAGCCGGAUUAAUACCGCAUACGACCUGAUGGUGAAAGCGGGGGACCGAAAGGCCUCGCGCUAUUGGAGCGGCCGAUGUCGGAUUAGCUAGUUGGUGGGGUAAAGGCUUACCAAGGCGACGAUCCGUAGCUGGUCUGAGAGGACGACCAGCCACACUGGGACUGAGACACGGCCCAGACUCCUACGGGAGGCAGCAGUGGGGAAUUUUGGACAAUGGGGGCAACCCUGAUCCAGCCAUGCCGCGUGCGGGAAGAAGGCCUUCGGGUUGUAAACCGCUUUUGUUCGGGAAGAAAUCCUCUGGGCUAAUACCCCGGGGGGAUGACGGUACCGGAAGAAUAAGCACCGGCUAACUACGUG